Long non-coding RNA from Rosa rugosa (rugosa rose), 1014 nucleotides. RefSeq lists it as uncharacterized. The record is from RefSeq and is a predicted model, not a curated record. Lineage: Eukaryota; Viridiplantae; Streptophyta; Magnoliopsida; Rosales; Rosaceae. The transcript is spliced from 7 exons.
CUAGAUUUGGAGGUUUCUCCCCUCAUCUCUCUCUCUCUCUCUCUCGACCUAAACAAGAUCUAGUUUUUCUCCCCUCCUCCUAAUUUUUGAUCUCUCCCUCUCUAGUGUUUUCUUCUGGGUAACUGUUGCAACCCAUCACAAUCGUCAUCCGUUUUCAAUCUCAGCACUACAAAGAACUCGAAGCCACCAUUAACAUGCUUCCAUGCUCUGCGUUGAGUUCCAAAUGGCGUUAUCAUCAAGGCCAUGGAGGGAUUCUCAAGAAGAAGAUCAGGCUCCGGUCACCGUCGCCGAUUUCAGCAGCCAGGCACUGAUAAGUUUGGAGAUGGGGAGACAAAUCCCUUCGAUUUCUUUGGUGGCGGAAGAGGACACGGCGUCGGUGCGGUUGAAUAAUUUGGUAGAGCAGGCGGUUGAUUAGGCCGCGCAACCAUCUACUUUCCGACAUAAGAAAUUUUUGGUGUGUUGAAGUGAAAUAGCUUUCGCCACGUUUGAGAACAUGUAGUAUGGAGAGAGUGCAAGAUGUUGCUGAGUUACUUGGCAUGAUUGUUGAAGGCCACAAGCGGUUGCAGCCUAAUGUGAAAACCUAUGCGAAAAUGUGAAGACAAAAAUUGUAUUUAGGCCAAAUGUUUCUAUGGCGUUGUUCUUUCAAUACAACACUGCUUUGGGGGCCACCUUACCAGGUUUUGGUAGAUACCAACUUUAUCAAUUUCUCUAUCCAGAAUAAGUUGGAUUUGGAGAAGAGAAUGAUGGACUGCCCAUAUGCAAAGUGUACUCCUGGUAUCACAGAUUAUGAAAUUGGUUAGGCUUGAAAAGUUGGGUCAGAAAUAUCGUGUGGCUCUGAGGUUGUCCUUGUCAAAAGAAGAGUUGCAGCUGUGGGAUGAAGUCUUGAUGUUUAUAUAUUGAUGGGUGCAUCUGUAAAUUUAUAGUUAGUACGUUUAUUGUAUUAUACAAUUUAAAAUACAAUAUAUAGUACAAGAAUGUAAAGGUGCCAAACGGCACCUUAUUUUUUUAAUACAA